Molecule: ribosomal RNA, 377 nt
Filed under: uncultured bacterium
Lineage: Bacteria
Description: bacterial SSU rRNA
Rfam family: Bacterial small subunit ribosomal RNA
Source: RNAcentral
GUAGUCCACGCCGUAAACUAUGGAUAUUAGCUGUCGGGAGACUUACCCUCUCGGUGGCGCCGCAAACGCAUUAAAUAUCCCGCCUGGGAAGUACGGCCGCAAGGUUAAAACUCAAAGAAAUUGACGGGGGCCCGCACAAGCGGUGGAGUAUGUGGUUUAAUUCGACGCAACGCGAAAAACCUUACCUAGGCUUGACAUCCCGCGCUACCCUAUGAAAGUAGGGGUUCCCGUAAGGGACGCGGAGACAGGUGCUGCAUGGCUGUCGUCAGCUCGUGUCGUGAGAUGUUGGGUUAAGUCCCGCAACGAGCGCAACCCUUGCCAUUAGUUGCUACCAUUAAGUUGGGCACUCUAAUGGGACCGCUUGCCGAUAAGGCAGA